This 358-nucleotide unclassified non-coding RNA is filed under the name fungal sp. Its description in RNAcentral is "partial internal transcribed spacer region". The stretch from base 1 to 46 matches the Rfam family "Eukaryotic small subunit ribosomal RNA", at positions 1786 to 1831 of the family's 1831-position model. Lineage: Eukaryota; Fungi. The record is from RNAcentral.
AAGUCGUAACAAGGUUUCCGUAGGUGAACCUGCGGAAGGAUCAUUACCGUGAUAAAAAGAAAAGGUUUUGGAAGGCACAGAGCCGUCGUGUUCUGUAGCUCAGGAGUAUGGGCAUGAAGUUAUGCGUGCCUAUGCGACCUCAAGUCCUGGCCAGGCCAGUGCGUCUGGUUUUUAAAACGGGCACCCUAUUCAGUGGCAUUGUUCACUGAAUAGGUUUAAUUUUUCUUUGUGUGAUCUCCAGGUAACACUGGAUUGAGCUGCAAAGAAAUGCAAAAACUUUUGUCCAAUGUUAAACCGUAUUGAAUAAAAAAUAAUAAUAAAAAAGAAUACCUCGAGUGGUGGAUCACUCGGCUCGUGG